UUACGGCCACAUCAUGUUGAAACACCAGUUCCUGUUUGAACACCGAAGUUAAGCAACAUUGUGCCUGGCUAGUACCUAGAUGGGUGACCGCUUAGGAACACCAGCUGCUAU
Non-coding RNA from Acanthosepion pharaonis, 111 nucleotides. NCBI's taxonomy places the organism in Eukaryota, Metazoa, Mollusca, Cephalopoda, Sepiida, Sepiidae. The record is from the annotation of a GenBank genome assembly.